CAGCAGUCACACUGGGUUUCAGUACGCGGUCCGCCGUCUGUUGUGUUCGGCCGUACGUCGUGUAACACCGCGUCGCCGUCGCCGCCGCUACUGUCGCGCCGCACGACGCCGUCCGGUUUUCAAUAAUAUUUUCCCUCGAUACGCGUGUCCGUACACCGGAGUUUCGUCCGGUUUUCAUUUAAUUCGUCGGGUUUUUUUUUUUUUUA
Molecule: non-coding RNA, 206 nt
Organism: Cinara cedri
Lineage: Eukaryota; Metazoa; Arthropoda; Insecta; Hemiptera; Aphididae
Source: the annotation of a GenBank genome assembly